GACCUUGUACUCCAUUGGACCUCUAAUUUGUCAAAUUGGACAAAAUUUUGGAGAAAGUAGUUCCUUUGGGAGAUUUUUGCAAAUCUUCUUUGACCUGGACCAGGUUCCUCUCUAGUUGAUAGUUUCUAUUUAAGUAGGAUGCAAAAUGUUUUUCAAAAUUUUUUAACCUCUUCUCAAGUUCUAGUUGAAUACUACUAGCUUUCCCCUUUCUGUUAGAUUGAUCUACAUAAAAUCUCAAUAUUUUUUCUUUGAUAUCAUUAUUUUUUUGACAACACACUUAGCUUUUCCCCCCAACUUCGACACUUUAGCAACAAAUAGCAGUUUUUUUAUUUUAAACACCUCAAGAGUUUCACCCCAGUGAUCCUUCUCAUUAGUAAGAUCAACUAAUGAGUCUAUCAAAAUAGUUUCUAGAUCUUUGAGCCUUUUUAAAGAGUAAUUAUUGAGAUUUUAUUUGAUAUCAAGAAGAGUUACCUUUCUUUCAUCUUCAUUAUUAAACUUAUCCAUGAAUCCAAGGAGAGAAUCAAAGACAUCAUCUGAAUCGUUAAUCACCAUCAUUGAAAUAUCCUUAAGGAGUUGAAAGUUAUCAGAAUCACUAAAUGAGUCUCCCCAGGCUGUCAGGGCUUGUUUCACAAAAUAAUCUGCAGUUGUUGUUAAUCUAACUUUGUCUGGAACCCUAUUCUUCCAAUUUCCUUUAUUUGGUCCAUCUCUUCUAUAAUCGUUGUGCUCUACAUUGUGCAUUGGACAAUCCUUGAUAAAGUUAAUAAUAUUUACGCAGUUAUGACAUAAGUCAUUACCUGUAGUUCAUAUUUUAGAGUUGUCUCUUCUUUGAAAACCCUCAUUUUUCCUUAACCUUGAGAAAUCUCUUGGUCAUGUAUGUCAUAUCUUCAUCUUCUUCACAGACUUCACCUUUGGCUGCCUUGACAGCCAAAGUCUUCUCUUUCUUGGGUUCUUUCUUAUUUUGCUCUUGCUGCUUCUUCAUUUCAUAUAUUUUUAGCUUUCCUAUGAUCUCAUCUAUUACUUCUCUCAUAGAAAUAUGUGGAUCAUCCAAGAUAACAUCCAUUAACUCACUAUCUUCCGGCAUUAUAAAAUCAUACAUUCUUAUUUUUCACCAUAUAUAUUAUUGAUAUUGAAUCUUUGGAGUCUAAUGGUGGAUGAUCCUUCUUUUAGGUUCGGUGGAACAACCAUUUUUGAGUUGGAUCCUCUAUAGGUGUUAACUUUUUAGAGAGAGUUAACUCUGAUACCAAUUGAUAAAAUGUAUGAGUCUACUAAGUACAAUAAGACCUAGUCCCUAAGCUAUAAGUACAACAUAAUAUAAAUGGAAAGAAAGCCAGUGCAACAAUGUAAAAAACACACCAAGUUUAUGUGGAAACUUCCUUGCUAAAGGAAAGUAAGAACCACGACCUGCCAUCAGGAUUUUCAAACUUCAUUAUUCUUCGAGCUUACAAACUCCUAUAAUCACCAACUCUUAUAAUAACUCUAUUACAAGAAAAGUGUCAUAGCUCUAGCACACUUACAACUGACUAACUCUAGUCACAGAUCCGAGGCAGCUCUACCCAGGAUUCAACACCACAAACAAUGAGAACAAACACUUAACCAACUUACAAACAACUCGAACAACUAACUCUAUCUACUUUGACUCGAGCUAAGACCUGGACAAGCUACACACCCACUAUCCCUUAUAAUUAGGAUUAGAUUUACAAUAUGAGAGUAAGGCCACAAAAACUCAACACACUACAAGACUUUAAAUGAGCACAUGAUCAAGCCCCUUGUAUGAGUUGUGUUCAAUGGAUGGCUUUUGUUGUGGAGAAGACAAAGAUUGAUAUUUUGCAAAAACUAGGUUUUGUUGUAUGUAAAUGA
Molecule: long non-coding RNA, 1857 nt
Filed under: Capsicum annuum
Lineage: Eukaryota; Viridiplantae; Streptophyta; Magnoliopsida; Solanales; Solanaceae
Description: long non-coding RNA (CANN_LNC020988)
Source: RNAcentral